UCGAACGAGAAGAGAUGAGAAGCUUGCUUCUUAUCGAUUCGAGUGGCAAACGGGUGAGUAACGCGUAAGCAACCUGCCCUCUAGAUGGGGACAACAGCUGGAAACGGCUGCUAAUACCGAAUACGUUCUUUCUGUCGCAUGGCAGAGGGAAGAAAGGGAGGCUCUUCGGAGCUUUCGCUGGAGGAGGGGCUUGCGUCUGAUUAGCUAGUUGGAGGGGUAACGGCCCACCAAGGCGACGAUCAGUAGCCGGUCUGAGAGGAUGAACGGCCACAUUGGGACUGAGACACGGCCCAGACUCCUACGGGAGGCAGCAGUGGGGAAUCUUCCGCAAUGGACGAAAGUCUGACGGAGCAACGCCGCGUGAACGAUGACGGCCUUCGGGUUGUAAAGUUCUGUUAUACGGGACGAAUGGUACGACGGUCAACACCCGUCGUAAGUGACGGUACCGUAAGAGAAAGCCACGGCUAACUAACGUGCCAG
RNAcentral lists this ribosomal RNA (480 nucleotides) under uncultured bacterium. Its description in RNAcentral is "bacterial SSU rRNA". It matches the Rfam family "Bacterial small subunit ribosomal RNA", at positions 62 to 511 of the family's 1533-position model. The record is from RNAcentral.